UCGUUGGGGCUCUGGCUCCGUCGAGAUAGUACCCUUGCCUUUUUUUAGCGUACCUGUUCGUUUCCUCGGUGGGCUCGCCCGCCAAUGGGGACCUUAACAUAACUCUUGAACUUGUAUCGAUGAUUAGUCUGAUCUAAAAAUCAAAAAUU
This 149-nucleotide unclassified non-coding RNA is filed under the name uncultured fungus. RNAcentral describes it as "sequence contains ITS1". The record is from RNAcentral. Lineage: Eukaryota; Fungi.